UACAGAGGUGGCAAGCGUUGCUCGGAAUCACUGGGCGUAAAGGGCGCGUAGGCGGGGAGGUAAGUCGGGUGUGAAAUCCCUCGGCCCAACCGAGGAACUGCGCCCGAGACUGCUUCUCUUGAGUCCCGGAGAGGAAGAUGGAAUUCCCGGUGUAGCGGUGAAAUGUGUAGAGAUCGGGAGGAACACCGGUGGCGAAGGCGGUCUUCUGGACGGUGACUGACGCUGAGGCGCGAAAGCGUGGGGAGCAAACGGG
RNAcentral lists this ribosomal RNA (253 nucleotides) under uncultured bacterium. RNAcentral's name for it is "partial 16S ribosomal RNA". It matches the Rfam family "Bacterial small subunit ribosomal RNA", at positions 524 to 776 of the family's 1533-position model. The record is from RNAcentral.